Molecule: non-coding RNA, 585 nt
Organism: Labrus bergylta (ballan wrasse)
Lineage: Eukaryota; Metazoa; Chordata; Actinopteri; Labriformes; Labridae
Source: RefSeq, a predicted model, not a curated record
CCCAGGAUUUCAUUGAAUAAUUUAAACACUGUGCUCAUGGUAUCAGUGUCUUUGCUCACUGUACCUGGUAUAUUGUGUUGUUCUGUGUUUUAACACUGUUACAUUGUUUGGUCGUACAACUUGGCUUUUGCCAGCGCUUCACUCCUCUUCAGCUCCACCGUUGUAUUCAAACAUGGUCACCUCCGUCUCCAGCUCCUCCUCCAGCAUUAUACUGAACAUCUCCUGCACAAAGUUGUUCUCAUGUAGCGCUCCUCCUCAGCUCCACCCUCUCCUCAAGUCACCUGUGGCUCCAGGAACAGGAGGUGAAAUCUAAAGAAGAGCCGUGAACAACAGAACAGAGGAGACAGGAAGCAGCACAGAGGACACAGACAGGAUGAGGCUGAAUGAACAGACCGACAACGAGAGAGAAGAAGAAAAGACGAGAGACAAGUGUCAAUGCUGAGACCUCAAAGCAAACAGAGGACUCCAUUUAAAGAAGAGACGGACGAGUUUGGAGACAACAAGAGGUCGGCACAACAUCUAGAAUCAGCUGCAAAAACAGAGUUUGCAAAUCAAAUCUGAAUAAAUAUAGAGCCAUGAAUAAUC